This is a long non-coding RNA of Vespa mandarinia (Asian giant hornet), 1140 nucleotides long. Lineage: Eukaryota; Metazoa; Arthropoda; Insecta; Hymenoptera; Vespidae. The record is from RefSeq and is a predicted model, not a curated record.
GCCUAUAUUUCAUCAAAUGCAAGACUGUUUCUUUAAAAUCCGUUAAAAUUCCUUCGCUAUGAAUUGGAAAACAGAAAUGUUAAGAAAGUUACGAUGAAAAGAAGAAAUAAUAUCCGACACAACGUUGCGUCGUCGUGCUUCUAACCGGAUCUUACGACUUAACUUGACUUAACUAACUCGAUUUACCGAACUCGUGGGAUAUUCAAAUAUCGAUAUCAUCGCAUCUGCUCCGCAGGCAGCGCCAGUCGUGGCGAUAUAGCAUCGCAAAUUCAAUUUCCACGAAUACUCAGUCGCCUCCGUGGAAUCAAAAUGAGAAGAGGACGGAAGCACUUCGAGAUGGGAGUUUCAAAGUCGAGCUAUGCUCGUCGUCGUCUAAAGACGACAUCGAUUUUCCGAACCGAGUGCUUCCAAAGUACGUAAACGACGAUGAAUCGUGUAGCGUUGCCGAGAUGCGAUGGGAAACUUCUUAUGGAAAAUUGAAAAAGGAUGAAUUAACGCAUCGCCAGUUACUUGGUGAAAUGCGGUUUCUCGAGCGUAGAGAAAAUUAUGCGGAAAUUAUAGCUACAGAAAAUCUAUUUCAGUAUAUAUCUAUAUAUAUCUAUAUACGAAUGAUAAAUUGUAUAAGUACGAAUUGUAUAAAGGAUACACAAGGACAACGAUCCAUUUCAUACAAACCUGUUUUCGAAGCGAUGGGAAGACUUGGAGGAACAUUUGGUACGUUUCCACGGUUAUUGCUAUUCGAUUAAAAGUAUAACGUAGCGUACGAACGAAGAACAUUCAGAGAACUGAUGCCAUUUCGAAAAAAUAUGUCAACACUGAUAACGACAUUUACGAAGACGAAUCACGUUUGCACGACGAAAGCCUAGCGAGCACUGUUGGUGUUCUGCGGUUAAAUAUUCAACUAUCGAGAAUCGUACGCUUCUAUAAUAAACAUUGGCUGUAACAGUUCGUUCAUAAUGUAUCCGAACGAGUACACGCGUCACGACAGUGAUAUGCUACGAAUUAGUGUCUCGAUGAUAAAUUAGAUAAGAAAUUAAAAUAUUUUUCUUUUUCUAACAUUUUUACUACAAAACUCAAUUCUAUCUUCUAAAAGAUAUACGAUACUAAAUAAAUAAAAUAAAUAUACAUGAAAGUUUGAAA